GCUUCCAUGGCUCAGUUGGUUAGAGCGCCGGUCUCAUAAUCCGGAGAUCACCAGUUCGACCCUGGUUGGGAGCA
Molecule: transfer RNA, 74 nt
Filed under: Agaricus bisporus var. burnettii JB137-S8
Lineage: Eukaryota; Fungi; Basidiomycota; Agaricomycetes; Agaricales; Agaricaceae
Also listed under: 1 other name
Description: tRNA-Met (CAT) (tRNA-Met-CAT-2-1)
Rfam family: tRNA
About the family: Transfer RNA (tRNA) molecules are approximately 80 nucleotides in length. Their secondary structure includes four short double-helical elements and three loops (D, anti-codon, and T loops).
Source: RNAcentral